Molecule: ribosomal RNA, 402 nt
Filed under: uncultured bacterium
Lineage: Bacteria
Description: bacterial SSU rRNA
Rfam family: Bacterial small subunit ribosomal RNA
Source: RNAcentral
AAUCAACGCUGGCGGCGUGCCUCAGACAUGCAAGUCGAACGAUUAAAGCUCCCUUCGGGGAGUGCAUAGAGUGGCGCACGGGUGAGUAACACGUAAGUAAUCUACCUUUGAGUGGGGAAUAACGUUCGGAAACGGACGCUAAUACCGCAUAAUGCAGCGGCAUCGCAAGAUGACAGUUGUUAAAGGAGCAAUCCGCUUAAAGAGGAGCUUGCGGCAGAUUAGCUUGUUGGUAAGGUAACGGCUUACCAAGGCUACGAUCUGUAUCCGGUCUAAGAGGACGGUCGGACACACUGACACUGAAUAACGGGUCAGACUCCUACGGGAGGCAGCAGUCGGGAAUUUUGGGCAAUGGGCGAAAGCCUGACCCAGCAACGCCGCGUGAAGGAUGAAGUAUUUCGGUAU